Molecule: ribosomal RNA, 439 nt
Filed under: uncultured bacterium
Lineage: Bacteria
Description: partial 16S ribosomal RNA
Rfam family: Bacterial small subunit ribosomal RNA
Source: RNAcentral
CUACGGGCGGCUGCAGUGAGGAAUAUUGCACAAUGGGGGGAACCCUGAUGCAGCAACGCCGCGUGGAGGAUGACGCAUUUCGGUGUGUAAACUCCUUUUAUAUGUCAAGAAAAUGACGGUAGCAUAUGAAUAAGCACCGGCUAACUCCGUGCCAGCAGCCGCGGUAAUACGGAGGGUGCAAGCGUUACUCGGAAUCACUGGGCGUAAAGGACGCGUAGGCGGGUUGGAAAGUCAGGUGUGAAAUCCUACAGCUUAACUGUAGAACUGCACUUGAAACUUCUAAUCUAGGGGAUGGGAGGGGGAGAUGGAGUUAGUGGUGUAGGGGUAAAAUCCGUAGAUAUCACUAGGAAUACCUAAAGCGAAGGCGAUCUCCUGGAACAUUACUGACGCUAAGGCGUGAAAGCGUGGGGAGCAAACAGGAUUAGAUACCCUAGUAGUC